This 993-nucleotide ribosomal RNA is filed under the name Pseudomonas sp. C1 ecto 19. Its description in RNAcentral is "partial 16S ribosomal RNA". The stretch from base 1 to 406 matches the Rfam family "Bacterial small subunit ribosomal RNA", at positions 538 to 1533 of the family's 1533-position model. Lineage: Bacteria; Pseudomonadati; Pseudomonadota; Gammaproteobacteria; Pseudomonadales; Pseudomonadaceae. The record is from RNAcentral.
ACGUUAUCGGGAUUACUGGGCGUAAGCGCGCGUAGGUGGUUUGUUAAGUUGAAUGUGAAAUCCCCGGGCUCAACCUGGGAACUGCAUCCAAAACUGGCAAGCUAGAGUAGGGUAGAGGGUGGUGGAAUUUCCUGUGUAGCGGUGAAAUGCGUAGAUAUAGGAAGGAACACCAGUGGCGAAGGCGACCACCUGGACUCAUACUGACACUGAGGUGCGAAAGCGUGGGGAGCAAACAGGAUUAGAUACCCUGGUAGUCCACGCCGUAAACGAUGUCAACUAGCCGUUGGGAGUCUUGAACUCUUAGUGGCGCAGCUAACGCAUUAAGUUGACCGCCUGGGGAGUACGGCCGCAAGGUUAAAACUCAAAUGAAUUGACGGAAUUACUCCACAAUAAGAGCACAACCAUGAUGUGCUUCGCGCGCACCUCGGCCGGUACCCAGCCAAAGUUGUUUCUUCAGUUGCGGGUGGAGCUUCACGGAUGUGUGAUGGCUGAGCAACGUUGGCCUCUGCAAGCCGCAAGCUUCCCUGUCGGAAGCUCCGGGCUGUUUUGUCCGCAGGACUCCACCUGAAUGAAUUGGUUAAUUGGGGGGGCGGCCCGCCCCAAGAAGCCGGAACCUCGAGCGGUUUCCAAAAACGAUUGCGGGACCGUAAACUGAGCCGCCAAGUGGGCGGACCCUAGUUUAGCCCCUGCAGGCAUCCCUUUCGAAUGAGGUUCUGCGUGGAACAGAGUAAUUGGAGGGUAUAGCGCACCUCCAGCUUUUUUUGCAGGUUGACUAACCCAAAUUUUAGAAACCAGGCGUGUUUUGUCCUGUCAUCGAACAAUAGUGGGUCUUCCCAAAUCGGGGAAAGAUCAAAUGCCGUGGGAUUUUCGCACUCUUUUUUUUUUUACACCCCUCAAAUUUGCGCCAACAAUAUUUUAUGGAAACACUUCUACAACUCUUGGGGUUGCUCUGCGUAUAAAUACAAAAUAGCAUCGCGGGUGUGUUCCUUAUCC